GACGAACGCUGGCGGCGUGCUUAACACAUGCAAGUCGAACGGAAAGGCCCCCAUCUUGGUGGGGGUGCUCGAGUGGCGAACGGGUGAGUAACACGUGGGUGAUCUGCCCUGUACUUCGGGAUAAGCUUGGGAAACUGGGUCUAAUACCGGAUAGGACCAUGGUUUAGUGUCUCAUGGUGGAAAGAUUAUUGUUUUGGUGCAGGAUGAGCUCGCGGCCUAUCAGCUUGUUGGUGGGGUAAUGGCCUACCAAGGCGUCGACGGGUAGCCGGCCUGAGAGGGUGGACGGCCACAUUGGGACUGAGUUACGGCCCAGACUCCUACGGGAGGCAGCAGUGGGGAAUAUUGCACAAUGGGCGCAAGCCUGAUGCAGCGACGCCGCGUGGGGGAUGACGGCCUUCGGGUUGUAAACUCCUUUCGUUAGGGACGAAGCCGCACUUUUUUUGGGUGUGGUGACGGUACCUUUGUUAAGAAGCACCGGCUAACUACGUG
RNAcentral lists this ribosomal RNA (489 nucleotides) under uncultured bacterium. Its description in RNAcentral is "partial 16S ribosomal RNA". It matches the Rfam family "Bacterial small subunit ribosomal RNA", at positions 28 to 507 of the family's 1533-position model. The record is from RNAcentral.